UACAGAGGGGGCUAGCGUUAUUCGGAAUUAUUGGGCGUAAAGGGCGCGUAGGCGGCCUUGCGUGUCUUUCGUGAAAUCCCUCGGCUUAACUGAGGACGUGCGGAAGAAACUGCAGGGCUUGAGUCCGGGAGAGGGGGGUGGAAUUCCCAGUGUAGCGGUGAAAUUCGUAGAUAUCAGGAGGAACACCAGUGGCGAAGGCGGCUUUCUGGACGGUAACUGACGCUGAGACGCGAAAGCGUGGGGAGCAAACAGG
RNAcentral lists this ribosomal RNA (253 nucleotides) under uncultured bacterium. Its description in RNAcentral is "partial 16S ribosomal RNA". It matches the Rfam family "Bacterial small subunit ribosomal RNA", at positions 524 to 776 of the family's 1533-position model. The record is from RNAcentral.